RNAcentral lists this ribosomal RNA (23 nucleotides) under Diaporthe sp. Its description in RNAcentral is "partial 18S ribosomal RNA". Lineage: Eukaryota; Fungi; Ascomycota; Sordariomycetes; Diaporthales; Diaporthaceae. The record is from RNAcentral.
GGUUUCCGUAGGUGAACCAGCGG